CCUACGGGAGGCAGCAGUGGGGAAUAUUGGACAAUGGGCGCAAGCCUGAUCCAGCAAUGCCGCGUGAGUGAUGAAGGCCUUAGGGUUGUAAAGCUCUUUUACCAGGGAUGAUAAUGACAGUACCUGGAGAAUAAGCUCCGGCUAACUCCGUGCCAGCAGCCGCGGUAAUACGGAGGGAGCUAGCGUUGUUCGGAAUUACUGGGCGUAAAGCGUACGUAGGCGGUUAUUCAAGUCAGAGGUGAAAGCCCGGGGCUCAACCCCGGAACUGCCUUUGAAACUAGGUAGCUAGAAUCUUGGAGAGGUCAGUGGAAUUCCGAGUGUAGAGGUGAAAUUCGUAGAUAUUCGGAAGAACACCAGUGGCGAAGGCGACUGACUGGACAAGUAUUGACGCUGAGGUACGAAAGCGUGGGGAGCAAACAGGAUUAGAUACCCUGGUAGUCCACGCCGUAAACGAUGAUAACUAGCUGUCCGGUCACUUGGUGACUGGGUGGCGCAGCUAACGCAUUAAGUUAUCCGCCUGGGGAGUACGGUCGCAAGAUUAAAACUUAAAGGAAUUGACGG
This 561-nucleotide ribosomal RNA is filed under the name uncultured bacterium. Its description in RNAcentral is "bacterial SSU rRNA". It matches the Rfam family "Bacterial small subunit ribosomal RNA", at positions 338 to 916 of the family's 1533-position model. The record is from RNAcentral.